GCAAGUUAUCAGGGUCUGAGGCUCGGGGGCCCAGGGCUGGGGGGAGAGGCGGAAUUUGUCACCAUGGGGGGAUUUGAAGAUACGCACUUCAACCCCAUUACUAACAGGGGCCUGACCCACGUGGCCUCCAGGAAGAGUGGAAUCUACAGGCUUUCUAUAACGUUAGGGGCAACAGAGUAACAACGAAAACCAGGUGGGGCGGCUCAGGAAAUCAGCCCUGGAACAGCCAUUAGGACCUAAGUCGAGUCCAUGCCAGGUGUGCCAGGCAGACCCCUCUGGAGGCCUGUUCUGUUGAUUAGCCUUGAAUCUGAAACUUAAGUCUUCCAGGCGCAUCUGGUGAGAUGGAAAAAAUGGAGAGAACUGGACAGCCCUGGAGAGAAGCUGAGAGCUAAAAAGAGAAGGAGGAGAAAUGUGGACAGAGACAUACACAGAGGGAAGACAACAUGAAGACCCGGGAAAAAGACAGCCAUCCACAAGCCAAGGAGAAA
Hipposideros armiger (great roundleaf bat) is the source of this 488-nucleotide long non-coding RNA. RefSeq lists it as uncharacterized. NCBI's taxonomy places the organism in Eukaryota, Metazoa, Chordata, Mammalia, Chiroptera, Hipposideridae. The record is from RefSeq and is a predicted model, not a curated record. The transcript is spliced from 3 exons.